This 681-nucleotide ribosomal RNA is filed under the name Triticum aestivum (bread wheat). RNAcentral's name for it is "partial small subunit ribosomal RNA". Lineage: Eukaryota; Viridiplantae; Streptophyta; Magnoliopsida; Poales; Poaceae. The record is from RNAcentral.
CUUCCCCAAUAGUACUGGACGUUGGAGGGCGUCGAGGAGGUCUUCGGCGAUAAGGCGCGCGUCGAUCGGCUGGACAGCCGCACCCUGGAGCGCGACCACACCAAAACCUUCGCAUGUUGGGUGUGGGUCUGGGAGAUGGCAUUCAUCCCAACCCAUCACACCUAUUGGAAGCUGCCCCAGGGCGCUGGCCGGGUUGAGGAGAUGGAGGGCUUUUCGCCGCUGGACCGCCACGUGGCCUCGCCGCCUGGCACCGAACGCUACAACCUGCUCAUCCAUGUGGAUCGGUUGGAGGACUGGUUGCCCAGAUCGCUGCGAUCCUCGCACUCGGCCCCGAGCGGCUUGCCGUCCUCCGACUCCGACCACAAUGACGACCUGCCGUGCACCUUCCCUGGCACUUGGACGAUGCACGUGGAGGACAGCCAGGUGGAAGAACACACCGUAGGCUGCGGCGGGUGCCUAUGGUGGAAACGGGUUGCGGGGGCCUCCCAAGGGGCGGCCCUUGCCAUGACCACGACGACCAGGGCGGUGGCGGUCGACACUCCUGGAAGGACACCCUCCUGGGUUAGGGGCGCGGCAGCACCUCCAAGGCGGGCGACGACGGAGCAACAAGCAAGGCGCACCAAUGCAGCUGCUCCCCCCCUCCCCUCCCCCGCCCUGCCGCUCAGCCUGCUCCUAGGGUAG